CGGUUAAGUCCCGCCAACGAGCGCAACCCUCGCUGUGUGUUACAAGUGUCACACGGAACUGCCGGUCAUAAACCGGAGGAAGGUGGGGAUGACGUCAAGUCAGCAUGGCCUUUAUAUCCUGGGCUACACACACGCUACAAUGGGAAGGGACAAUAGGUUGCGAAGCCGCGAGGCGGAGCCAAUCCAGCAAAACUUCCCUCAGUUCAGAUUGCAGGCUGCAACUCGCCUGCAUGAAGUUGGAGUUGCUAGUAAACGCAGGUCAGCCAUACUGCGUUGAAUACGUUCCCGGGGCUU
This 294-nucleotide ribosomal RNA is filed under the name uncultured Anaerolineaceae bacterium. Its description in RNAcentral is "partial 16S ribosomal RNA". It matches the Rfam family "Bacterial small subunit ribosomal RNA", at positions 1077 to 1382 of the family's 1533-position model. Lineage: Bacteria; Bacillati; Chloroflexota; Anaerolineae; Anaerolineales; Anaerolineaceae. The record is from RNAcentral.